CGAUAUGAGGGUGAUCUGGCUGUGACAUGUGUCACUCCAUUGAUUGCCAGGGUUGAUUCGAUUGAUCUGGUUGGCUAGGCAGGCGUCCCCUUCCUAUCUCACUGCUCUGUGCGUGUCACUCCCGCAGCUGCAUACUCCGUCAAAGAGGGCAACCAUCCCUGCUAGGGGGAGACCGGUCUUCCCUCAAGGGUAUAUGAGUAGCUGAGCUUCCCUGCUAGAACUGCCAAACAAACUCUCAAAGGAGAGAGCUCAGACUCUGGAAGGAGGCUUGCUUGACAAAGACAAGCAAAGGUGGUUUU
RNAcentral lists this small nuclear RNA (299 nucleotides) under Carlito syrichta (Philippine tarsier). RNAcentral's name for it is "7SK RNA (ENSTSYG00000022115.2)". It matches the Rfam family "7SK RNA". From Rfam's summary of the family: 7SK was discovered as an abundant small nuclear RNA in the mid-70s but a possible function has only recently been suggested. Two independent studies have found that 7SK RNA binds the CDK9/cyclin T complex (known as elongation factor P-TEFb). Lineage: Eukaryota; Metazoa; Chordata; Mammalia; Primates; Tarsiidae. The record is from Rfam by way of RNAcentral.